AAGUCGUAACAAGGUUUCCGUAGGUGAACCUGCGGAAGGAUCAUUAACUCAAUAUAUGUAUGGUCACUUCGGUGACUGUGCAUCAUAUUACCAAAACCAAAAUUAACAAUCCGUGAAACUAUAACAAAACCAAAAUGAAUGGUUUCGCGUGACAUUACUUUGUUUGAAUGCACGUACUCAGCCAAUACCAAUUCCACGUCAUUUUAACCAUAUUAACCCAUUACUGUAACGAUCUUUUCACUUUGUGUCAAGAGCGUACUAAAACAAAAGCGUGUCAUUACUUAAUUGAAUGCAUGCACCAAUUUAUUCUAAAACAGAGAAAUACAACUCUUAACAAUGGAUAUCUUGGCUCUCGUAACGAUGAAAAACGCAGC
This 374-nucleotide unclassified non-coding RNA is filed under the name fungal sp. Its description in RNAcentral is "partial internal transcribed spacer region". The stretch from base 1 to 46 matches the Rfam family "Eukaryotic small subunit ribosomal RNA", at positions 1786 to 1831 of the family's 1831-position model. Lineage: Eukaryota; Fungi. The record is from RNAcentral.